AUUACUGCACGUCGACGAACUCUGGUAUUGAUUGGUACUUGUCCUCAUGAUUUACAUUUGAGUGAGUGGCGAACUGGUGAGUAACACGUGGGAAACUUGCCCAGAAGCGGGGGAUAACACCUGGAAACAGAUGCUAAUACCGCAUAACAACUUGGACCGCAUGGUCCGAGUUUGAAAGAUGGUUUCGGCUAUCACUUCUGGAUAGUCCCGCGGCGCAUUAGCUAGAUGGUGAGGUAACGGCUCACCAUGGCAAUGAUGCGUAGCCGACCUGAGAGGGUAAUCGGCCACAUUGGGACUGAGACACGGCCCAAACUCCUACGGGAGGCAGCAGUAGGGAAUCUUCCACAAUGGACGAAAGUCUGAUGGAGCAACGCCGCGUGAGUGAAGAAGGGUUUCGGCUCGUAAAACUCUGUUGUUAAAGAAGAACAUAUCUGAGAGUAACUGUUCAGGUAUUGACGGUAUUUAACCAGAAAGCCACGGCUAACUACGUGCCAGCAGCCGCGGUAAUACGUAGGUGGCAAGCGUUGUCCGGAUUUAUUGGGCGUAAAGCGAGCGCAGGCGGUUUUUUAAGUCUGAUGUGAAAGCCUUCGGCUCAACCGAAGAAGUGCAUCGGAAACUGGGAAACUUGAGUGCAGAAGAGGACAGUGGAACUCCAUGUGUAGCGGUGAAAUGCGUAGAUAUAUGGAAGAACACCAGUGGCGAAGGCGGCUGUCUGGUCUGUAACUGACGCUGAGGCUCGAA
This 741-nucleotide ribosomal RNA is filed under the name Lactiplantibacillus fabifermentans. RNAcentral describes it as "bacterial SSU rRNA". It matches the Rfam family "Bacterial small subunit ribosomal RNA", at positions 50 to 757 of the family's 1533-position model. Lineage: Bacteria; Bacillati; Bacillota; Bacilli; Lactobacillales; Lactobacillaceae. The record is from RNAcentral.